ACUCAGUAAAGCUAAGAAAAGCAGAGCUCUUACCUCGUACCUUUUGCAUCAUGAUUUAACAAGUAUAACCAAGCAAAGAGCAUUUUAGUUUGACCCCCGAAACCCAAGUGAGCUACUCCAAGACAACCUAAAGAUUAGGGUAAACCCGUCUCUGUGGCAAAAGAGUGGGAAGAGCUUCGAGUAGAGGUGACAGACCAAUCGAACUUGGUAAUAGCUGGUUGCUUGAGAAAUGAAUAGAAGUUCUGCCUCUUACAUUCUUACCUCAAAUCUGGGCUAUAAUGGCCCGAUCCCAUAGCCAAAUGGAAGUAAGAGAGUUAAUCUAAGGGGGUACAGCCCCUUUGAAACAAGACACAACUUUCCCAGAAGGGUAAAGAUCAUAAUCCACAAGGUAACUAUGCCCCGGUGGGCCUAAAAGCAGCCAUCCAAUUAGAAAGCGUUAAAGCUCUAACAUACUUCCCCCCACGAUCCCGAUAACAAAUCUUAACCCCCUAAAUAUAUCAAGCCGUCCCAUAAAAACAUGGGAGCGAUUAUGCUAAAAUGAGUAAUCAGAGAAGUCCACUUCUCUCCCCGUACAUGUGUAAAUCGGAGCGGACCUCCCACCGAAAUUUAACGACCCCAAAUGAUAGAGGGCACUGAAUGAUAAAUAGCAUACAAGAAAAUUAUUCAAAAACAUACCGUUAACCCCACACUGGUGUACCCCAAAGGAAAGACCUAAAGGAAAAGAAGGAACUCGGCAAAUACCCCUAAGCCUCGCCUGUUUACCAAAAACAUCGCCUCUUGCUAACUGCACAUAAGAGGUCUUGCCUGCCCUGUGACCCCUGGUUCAACGGCCGCGGUAUUUUAACCGUGCAAAGGUAGCGCAAUCACUUGUCUCUUAAAUGAAGACCUGUAUGAAUGGCACAACGAGGGCUUAACUGUCUCCUUUCCCCGGUCAAUGAAAUUGAUCUUCCCGUGCAGAAGCGGGAAUCCUAACAUAAGACGAGAAGACCCUAUGGAGCUUUAGACUCCAGAACAGAUCAUGUAAGCUACCACCAUAAAAUAGGUAACAACCAUUGAACUUCUGUUCCCCUGUCUUCGGUUGGGGCGACUACGGGGGACAAAAAAACCCCCAUGUGGACCAGGAGCACAUUACUCCUACAACCAUGAGCCACAGCUCUAAUGCACGAAACAUUUGACCAUUAGAUCCGGCAAAGCCGAUUAACGGACCAAGUUACCCUAGGGAUAACAGCGCAAUCCCCUUUAAGAGUUCCUAUCGACAAGGGGGUUUACGACCUCGAUGUUGGAUCAAGACAUCCUAAUGGUGCAGCCGCUAUUAAGGGUUCGUUUGUUCAACGAUUAAAGUCUU
Molecule: ribosomal RNA, 1345 nt
Filed under: Planiliza alata (diamond mullet)
Lineage: Eukaryota; Metazoa; Chordata; Actinopteri; Mugiliformes; Mugilidae
Description: partial 16S ribosomal RNA
Rfam family: Bacterial large subunit ribosomal RNA
Source: RNAcentral